GUUUUUGAAUUCGACUCGUCUCCCUCUCUCUCUUCACACCACAGUAUCGCCCCCCUCUCAACUACUGGAGACGAGCAAUCCAACGGCUCCGGCUACUGGACGACCUCGACGACUGACGCCGUGGUUUUUGAAUUCAACUUGUCUCCCUCUUUCUCUCUUCACACCACAGUACCGCCCCCCUCUCAAGUACUCUGUACUCAGGUGGUUAACGGAGGAGAAGCAGUCCAAGACGUCGUUCAGCCAUCGUUCAGCGAGUGAGACAAGGAUCCGGUUCUGCUCGUCUGAAGUUGUUGUUUAGCCGUCGUUCAAGGCUUAAGCAGAUUUUCGAACAGCCGAGGAAACCCCACCGUCGUUCAGCGAGUUUCACAGAUGUUAUCAAUGAGAAAUGGAUUGAGUUUACACCCCAUGUACCUACCUGGAGUAUUGCAAUCUACACAGUUGCCGCAAAUGCCAAUGGGCUUUGGUGAUGGAGAGAGGUCACUGCAUAUGAACAUGGGAACAUGCACAAUGCCUGUGAACCAGGAAGACUCAACACGAAAUGCAUUCAGUCUGUCCAAUCAGCAUGCACCCUUGCAAAAACGAGCUGUCUUACCCAAUGUGACAAAUAUAACUCAAUCGGAAUCCUCAUUUGGGGCAGAUUUACCUGUUCAGACCCACAAUGGACCAUUUCAGCUCUCUAAAGCUUCUGAGAAAACAAGAAACCCAUGACAACAUCAACUCUGCCUUUUGAUGCACAAUCAUUAGUUUCGCUGGAACCUACCUCUCUGGGAGCAUGUGUUUUACACAAAGAAGGAUCACAAGAGGUGCUUCCAAAAGAUGUAAAUGGUAACCAGAUUCUCAUUCAACAUCUGCAUAGGUAAGAUUAAUCCAUCAGAUAUUAUUCUGUUUCUUAACAUUAUGAACAAACUUUUCCUUACAUGUUUGGUUUUUCUACCUCAGCGUACAGACUGGAAGAAGUGUGUCUGAUGAAAACAAGAUGACCCCGGACUGCUAAAGUUGGCUAGACACCUUGUAUGUCGCUAACAGAUUGGAUUUGGUGUAUCAUAACUUAAUCAGUACCUCGUCUUUCUCUAUGUUGCUCAGGCAUGUUUGGUAUUUGAUGCAAAUGCCUCCAAGCAGAGUAUCAAUUGGACAAGAUUCAGUGCUCCCUAGAGGUUUUUUCACAUUGCUCUGUAGAAUAGAUGUUGGAAUAUAGGAUAAUUCAUGUGUACUGAUGAUUCUUUUAGUUGGGGUUACAGUUAUCUCCUGGAGUUAAUUGCCAACAAUUAUACUCCUAGAGUCAAGAACAUGAUUGCUCCCACCCCAUUCUCCUGUGAACAGGGUGGUCCGGUAGGAAACCUGAAUUCAUAGAAAUACAAACCGGAGUUCUCUGCCUUGCCCAAUUUUUAACAUGGGAUGUUUGAAAAGUGGAACUGCAAGUUUAGAUGUUUUCCUGUUAGAUCAAUCAUCUAUAGGCUUUGAAGUUGGGGAUAUGCAGUUCUCUUAAUAUUGCUCCUCAUGGGCAUUGAUAACCCUGUUAUUUGGCUGUGUUUCUAGUGCAGAUUCAAUAUCCAAUCCUGGAUGAUGAAGUCCGACAAGAGGAAAAAUGCCAAUAAUUCCCUAUUUCAUAGUGUACGCUGUUGAGCUAUGUUUCAUAUAAACUGGCGCUGGGCUAACUAAGCUAAACUGUUAAAUUCUUUUUUUUUUUUUUCAUGAAAAUGCUGAAGUAUUAA
RNA transcript from Macadamia integrifolia, 1712 nucleotides. It is a transcript of the gene named transcription factor SPATULA-like, with no coding region annotated. The record is from RefSeq and is a predicted model, not a curated record. The transcript has 3 exons. Lineage: Eukaryota; Viridiplantae; Streptophyta; Magnoliopsida; Proteales; Proteaceae.